AUGCUGCCUCCGCUAAAAGUUAGCCCAAACUUGUACUGCUAUGACUGUAAUGGCUAUGCCAUUCUGACCGGUGUAGAUUGUUGCUCCAAAGAUGCGUUAACACCCACGAUGCAGCCAAGCAACCCUUUGUCUUUCUUCAAAGUGGUCAUCAUUGGAUACACCAGUGAUGACUUGAAGUACAAUCUCCAUACGUUCUCGUCUGACAAAUCAAGUUGGGACGAACGUACCAAUUGCUUCGACGGUGAUGCGCAGUCAUACAACUAUGGGUCGUUAACGUUUAGCGAUGCCAUUGUGCACAAUGGCCUGGCACACUGGAUAUUUCAUAAUUAUGGUGAAGAGUCCCUUCAACUCAUUAAUCUGAAUGCUCAGACCAGCCAUAUCUCCUUGACGAAGCCUCCUUUUAAACCAAACUAA
Molecule: ribosomal RNA, 414 nt
Filed under: Triticum aestivum (bread wheat)
Lineage: Eukaryota; Viridiplantae; Streptophyta; Magnoliopsida; Poales; Poaceae
Description: partial small subunit ribosomal RNA
Source: RNAcentral